Molecule: ribosomal RNA, 390 nt
Filed under: Syndiniales sp.
Lineage: Eukaryota; Dinophyceae; Syndiniales
Description: partial small subunit ribosomal RNA
Rfam family: Eukaryotic small subunit ribosomal RNA
Source: RNAcentral
AUUCCAGCUCCAAUAGCGUAUAUUAAAGUUGUUGCGGUUAAAAAGCUCGUAGUUGGAUUUCUGUCAAAGGUGAGGUGGUCCAUCUUAUGGAUGUGUAUCUACCCAUGCCUUGGCAUCUUCUUCAAGAACGCUUUCGCGCUUCAUUGCGUGAUGCGGAAUUGAAGACUUUUACUUUGAGGAAAUUAGAGUGUUCACGGCAGGCAAUCGCUUUGAAUACAUUAGCAUGGAAUAAUACUAUAGGGCCUCGGCUUUAUUUUGUUGGUUUCUAAAGCUGAGGUAAUGAUUAAUAGGGAUAAUUGGGGGUCUUUGUAUUGCAACGUCAGAGGUGAAAUUCUUGGAUUGUUGCACGACAAACUACUGCGAAAGCAUUGGCCAAGGAUGUUUUCAUCA